Molecule: ribosomal RNA, 372 nt
Filed under: uncultured organism
Description: bacterial SSU rRNA
Rfam family: Bacterial small subunit ribosomal RNA
Source: RNAcentral
CGGAGGGUGCGAGCGUUGUCCGGAAUCAUUGGGCGUAAAGGGCGCGUAGGUGGCCUGGUCAGCGUGCGGUGAAAGCUCGGGGCUCAACCCCGAGUCGGCCGUGCGAACUGCUGGGCUUGAGCACUGUAGAGGCAGGCGGAAUUCCGGGUGUAGCGGUGGAAUGCGUAGAGAUCCGGAAGAACACCGGUGGCGAAGGCGGCCUGCUGGGCAGUAGCUGACACUGAGGCGCGACAGCGUGGGGAGCAAACAGGAUUAGAUACCCUGGUAGUCCACGCCGUAAACGAUGGGCACUAGGCGCUUGGGGGAGCGACCCCCCGAGGGCCGGCGCUAACGCAUUAAGUGCCCCGCCUGGGGAGUACGGCCGCAAGGCUG